GGGGGGGGGGGGGGGGGGGGGGGGGGCGUGGGGGGCGGGCGGGCAGGUGGGGGGCUUGCUCCUCGGGCGGUAGGGGCGGACGGGUGAGUAACGCGUGGAUAACCUACCUAUAAGACUGGGAUCACUUCGGGAAACCGGAGCUCAUACCGGAUGAUAUAUUGCACCGCAUGGUUCAAUAGUGAAAGACGGUUUUGCUGUCACUUAUAGAUGGAUCCGCGCCGCAUUAGCUAGUUGGUAAGGUAACGGCUUACCAAGGCAACGAUGCGUAGCCGACCUGAGAGAGUGAUCGGCCACACUGGAACUGAGACACGGUCCAGACGCCUACGGGAGGCAGCAGUAGGGAAUCGUCCGCAAAGGGCGAAAGCCUGACGGAGCAACGCCGCGUGAGUGAUGAAGGUCUUCGGAUCGUAAAACUCUGUUAUUAGGGAAGAACAAAUGUGUAAGUAACUAUGCACGUCUUGACGGUACCUAAUCAGAAAGCCACGGCUAACUACGUG
This 497-nucleotide ribosomal RNA is filed under the name uncultured bacterium. RNAcentral describes it as "partial 16S ribosomal RNA". It matches the Rfam family "Bacterial small subunit ribosomal RNA", at positions 27 to 507 of the family's 1533-position model. The record is from RNAcentral.